RNAcentral lists this ribosomal RNA (1352 nucleotides) under uncultured bacterium. RNAcentral's name for it is "bacterial SSU rRNA". It matches the Rfam family "Bacterial small subunit ribosomal RNA", at positions 28 to 1381 of the family's 1533-position model. The record is from RNAcentral.
AUUGAACGCUUGCGGCAUGCCUUACACAUGCAAGUCGAACGGUAACGGGUCCUUCGGGAUGCCGACGAGUGGCGAACGGGUGAGUAAUAUAUCGGAACGUGCCCAGUAGUGGGGGAUAACUGCUCGAAAGAGCAGCUAAUACCGCAUACGACCUGAGGGUGAAAGGGGGGGAUCGCAAGACCUCUCGCUAUUGGAGCGGCCGAUAUCAGAUUAGCUAGUUGGUGGGGUAAAGGCCUACCAAGGCAACGAUCUGUAGUUGGUCUGAGAGGACGACCAGCCACACUGGGACUGAGACACGGCCCAGACUCCUACGGGAGGCAGCAGUGGGGAAUUUUGGACAAUGGGCGCAAGCCUGAUCCAGCAAUGCCGCGUGCAGGAAGAAGGCCUUCGGGUUGUAAACUGCUUUUGUCAGGGAAGAAAUCUUCUGGGCUAAUACCCCGGGAGGAUGACGGUACCUGAAGAAUAAGCACCGGCUAACUACGUGCCAGCAGCCGCGGUAAUACGUAGGGUGCGAGCGUUAAUCGGAAUUACUGGGCGUAAAGCGUGCGCAGGCGGCUUUGCAAGACAGAUGUGAAAUCCCCGGGCUCAACCUGGGAACUGCAUUUGUGACUGCAAGGCUAGAGUACGGCAGAGGGGGAUGGAAUUCCGCGUGUAGCAGUGAAAUGCGUAGAUAUGCGGAGGAACACCAAUGGCGAAGGCAAUCCCCUGGGCCUGUACUGACGCUCAUGCACGAAAGCGUGGGGAGCAAACAGGAUUAGAUACCCUGGUAGUCCACGCCCUAAACGAUGUCAACUGGUUGUUGGACGGCUUGCUGUUCAGUAACGAAGCUAACGCGUGAAGUUGACCGCCUGGGGAGUACGGCCGCAAGGUUGGAACUCAAAGGAAUUGACGGGGACCCGCACAAGCGGUGGAUGAUGUGGUUUAAUUCGAUGCAACGCGAAAAACCUUACCUACCCUUGACAUGUCAAGAAUUCUGCAGAGAUGUGGAAGUGCUCGAAAGAGAACUUGAACACAGGUGCUGCAUGGCCGUCGUCAGCUCGUGUCGUGAGAUGUUGGGUUAAGUCCCGCAACGAGCGCAACCCUUGUCAUUAGUUGCUACGCAAGAGCACUCUAAUGAGACUGCCGGUGACAAACCGGAGGAAGGUGGGGAUGACGUCAGGUCCUCAUGGCCCUUAUGGGUAGGGCUACACACGUCAUACAAUGGCCGGUACAGAGGGCUGCCAACCCGCGAGGGGGAGCCAAUCCCAGAAAACCGGUCGUAGUCCGGAUCGUAGUCUGCAACUCGACUGCGUGAAGUCGGAAUCGCUAGUAAUCGCGGAUCAGCUUGCCGCGGUGAAUACGUUCCCGGGUCU